GACCCGUAAGGUCUAAACCUGUGUCAAAGUUCAAAGGCCACAGGUUUUCAUCUUGGGGUACA
RNAcentral lists this microRNA precursor (62 nucleotides) under Strongylocentrotus purpuratus (purple sea urchin). RNAcentral describes it as "Spu-Mir-10-P2n_pre stem-loop". The record is from RNAcentral. Lineage: Eukaryota; Metazoa; Echinodermata; Echinoidea; Camarodonta; Strongylocentrotidae.